GCUGAUACCACCAUCACUGCAUUAAAGAAGGGCCUGAGGAUCACCCCUGCAUUCCGAAGGAUCUAAGUUAUCUCAGAAGAUGUACCUGUAUAGUGCAGGUGUGUUAUCUGCUCAGUCACGAUUGUUGUUAAGGUCAAAACUGGGGAGCCUGUGGGACCUCACUAUCUUAAUGACCAUUUCCUUGAUGUUCACAUUUUCCUGUGUUGAUCUACAGACAGUUCCUGUGGCAUCAUUUCACAAAGUCCUGAGUCAGUUCUCUGUACUUCCUUUAUCUCCAGCCGACGAUAACAGAGUAAUCUGAAUUUUUCAAAGCUGGCAGAAUUGUACUUGAUUUCUGAAUGAAGAGAAAAGGAGGAAGAACUGUUCCCUGAGCAGAAAUAUCUGUUUCCUGAGGAGCCCCGUGUGCUGAAGACAACCAUGUCAGACUGACAGUCCUUGGUCCUCACAUAGAUGUGGUUCUUCAGCAAUAACUGAAUGUUUGACCUGUAUGUACAGUAUAUCGCUCUUUCUCCAGUUGGAGGCGGUAUAAAGCAGGUUUCUCUUCAUCAUCCACCCCCACACACAAAACCAGACAAACAAUGCCACAAAAGCAGAAACCAGCAACCCCACAUUGUCACUUUAAAAAGAGGUUUUCCUGUCUUAGGUUUCAUUGAGAAGAACAAACAAGCGCCAGAAGACAAUGUGCCAUCAGAUGUCUGAACAUGAGCAAAACUCAAAGAUGAAGAUAUGUGAACUUACGAUCAUCAUCCUCAUACUUUUACUUCCAAUCAAAGGUGCAACAGUUACUCCAAUUUCUGUGCUGCUGGGAAAGCCCUUUGUCUUUCAUCUGCCAAAUGUACCGGAUAGAUUCAAAAUCAACUUCAUUGAAUGGAAACAAGCAAAUAAACUUUUGGCUACUAUUGAACCUAAUAAAGAACCUGAGCUAUUUGCCAUUCAGACUAGAAUUAAAUUCAUGAACAAUGGAUCAAUGUUCAUCAAAGAUUUCCAGCGUGAAGAUGCUGGGAAUUACACUUGCAAGAUCAUUUCCCAAAAUGGUGAAACUGAAACACACGUUGUCUGCUUGACUCCAUACUCAGAAAAUGAAGAACAGUCUGAAAAUAGGAAUCAGAUAUCUGAAAACUGCACAAGUGCACCAUCAGGUAAGCAUUUCUUUGUAUACUUUUCUCUCAUAAUUCAGCCCUUGACCUUCGUAUAGAUGCAUCUGCAACCCAUAGACUGCAGCUCAGUGUGAAACUCGAGGCAGUGGCAGUUUAGAGGAAAGCGGGUAGUGUGUAUAUCUGGUGUUAGUGUAAGUGUAUCAUGCAUAGUCAUGGUGCUGAGGCUUUCACACCUCUGUCUCACUGCUCCGUGUUGAGUGAUCUACCUCUUAAAACAUCCCGCCAAGAGAGUCGGUGUGGUCAUGAGUGAGACUACAGCAUUCAAAACUUCUUUAAAGGGUUCUUUGAGCAAUGAAUUAGAAGAAAGUUUGUCUACUGUAUACCAUAAUACACUGCCUGGCCAAAAAAAAGGUCACACACUCUAAUAUUUGGUUGGACCCACUUUAGCUUUGAUUGCAGCACACAUUCACUGUGGCAUUGUUUCAAAAAGCUUCUCCAAUGUCACAAGGUUUAUUUCAAUCCAGUGUUGCUGGAUUAAUUUUUCACCAAGAUCUUGCAGCAGCAUUGAUGAUGGUAGAGUCUGACCACUGCACAAAGCAGCUCUUCUCCAUCCAGCACAUCCCAAAGAUUCUCAAUGAGGUUAAGAUCUGGACUCUGUGGUGAACUCUCUCUCAAUCCAUGUGUGAAAAUGAUGAUCUCAUGCUCCCUGAACCCUGAACUCUUUCACAAUUCCAGCCACAUAUUUCCAGACACUGUCUUCUUAGAAUAAUGUAGUCUAGAUCUUUCUCUUUAGCGUUUUUAAAAGCAUGUAAUGUCUGCUGACAGCCAGCUUAGGGUAUGUGUUCACCUGGAUGACCAGCUCUUUAGCACUAAUCAUCAUACAUGCCAUAUGCCAUGUAUUUACCUUUAUAGAUUGAUUUAUUGUGCUGUAUAACAUGACCUAUAUGUGAUAUUGAUAAUUUCUUUAAAGAUCACUUUCAUGCACAUAAAAUAAAUAGUCCAUCAUAGACA
Molecule: long non-coding RNA, 2108 nt
Filed under: Astyanax mexicanus (Mexican tetra)
Lineage: Eukaryota; Metazoa; Chordata; Actinopteri; Characiformes; Acestrorhamphidae
Description: lncRNA (ENSAMXG00005020698.1)
Source: RNAcentral